RNAcentral lists this long non-coding RNA (8930 nucleotides) under Homo sapiens (human). Its description in RNAcentral is "non-protein coding lnc-SOWAHB-5:5". The record is from RNAcentral. Lineage: Eukaryota; Metazoa; Chordata; Mammalia; Primates; Hominidae.
AAACGACCGUCUCCGCUGCCAUGAGAUGCCGACAGCCUGUGCGCUGGCCGCCACCCCCUGCUCCAUCAGGUGCUGGAAUCUGAGUAAAAGCCUGGGCGCGAGCUCCCAGCCCCGGGGCCUGCCACCGGCUCCACGAAGCGGGCAGCUCCAGCGGCCGCCGGGAGAAGGAAGGGCGACCGGGGGAGACGGGUCGCAGGGACAGCACGUGGCGGAAAGUUAGCCCCGGACUAGCACGCCCCACCCGGAGAAGCCGGCCUGGAAGGGGCUGCGGACCACCAGGCGGAGCGGUGGGCGACCGAAGUGCGGCUGGGCUGGCCUCCUCGUCUCCGCACUGGAAGAAUUGCCCUUCCGCAAGUCUUCCCUUCCCACAUGGGGGCCCUCCAGGCCGCACCUCGGUCGCCCACCGCUUCCCUUGAGAAGGGAGACUAAAGACAGGCAUCUGGAAGCUGUCACUGUGGCGCGCGGGCAGACAGGGGAUCCCAUUGGAGAGGAAGAGCCGUAGUAGUCGCUGCUGCCUUCGGCCGACCCAACGGCCGCCUGCUUGGGAGGAAGAAAAAGAACGCCCCCGCUGAAGAAUUAAGGCAGCCAUUGGUUGCUCUAGGGGGUUACAAGAUGGGCAGUACAAUAGAGGAUGGACUGGAGUUGGAAAAGACUAAAGCAGCAAGUUUGAUAAGGAGGCUACAGCAAUAGUCCAGGUGAAAGACGCAAGAGCCCAAAAUGCAGCAGUGGCCAAGGGAAUGGAUCUGAGAUAAAGUUCAGAAGAUAGAGUUGGCAGGGCAGUUUAUCUUUAAUCCAGGAGAAGAGAAGAAGGCCACAUGAAGAUGGAGCAAGAGAUUGGAGUGAUGUGGCCACAAGCCAAGGAAGCUGAGGAAUGAAGACAGCUAUCAGAAGCUGGAAGAGGAAAAGAAUUCUCUCUUGGGGUCUGCAGAGGGAGAACAGCCCUGCCAACACUUCCAUUUCCAAUGUCUGGACUCUAGAACUGUGAGAAAAUAAAUUCCCAUUAUUUUAAGGAACACAGUUUGUGAUACUGCAUUACAGCAGCUCCAUGAAACAAAUACAUUUUGUUAUUCCAAGUCCUCUUCACAACAAAGUCUUUGCUAGUGGUGAACCAAACACAGUCCCACCAUCAUGAGCCACUGUUCUGGAUGAGGGGGCAACACAGUUCAGACACUGGUCAUCUCUAUUUAAUGUCUAAUGGGCAUCUCAAACCUAACUUUCUCCCAGUGGAAAUGCCUGGAGGUACGUGGAGAUGGAAAGCUGACCUAGCCAAGGAGUUCAGCAAAGAUCCCUGGGAGGAGGUGACAUCUGGACAUCUGCACAGAAUAAUGAGGCUGGGCUAAGGCAGUGACUGAGGGAGGCACUCUUUUUUGGUUUUUCUUUUCUUUUCUUUUGUGUAGGAAGGAAAGAAUAGCCAGGAGAGAUAGAGGAGAAAGAGGAUAAAGAUAGACAGGAAAGAGGUAACACAAGAAGUCAGGACCUGCGCUUGAGGGGCAGAAGUCAAGUCGGGCUAAGGUGAGAAGGCAGAACAGGGUUCAGGGUCUUUGAAGAGAAACAAGUACAGAGCUGGAACUAAGUGAUGCUGACUCCAGACUAAAACCCUCUGGGUUUGAAUCCUGCCUCUGCCACUUACUUAUUCAUUACAAAAUAGCGAGAAAUUACAUUAUCUGGAUCUUGGUCUCUUCAACUAUAAAACAAAAAUAAUAAUAGCUCCUAUCUCAUAGGAUGCUAUUAGGAGUACUAAGUAUAUUAACACCUGUAAAGCACUUGGCUCAAUGUCUGGCACUGCAUAUGCAAUAAAUGUCAUUAUUACUAUUAACAUUAUUAGAAGAAGCAGCAAAUUUAAAAUCAGAAUGUGAGCACUGGAAAGGACUUCAGAAUCAACUAAUCUAAUUCCCCCAUUGUACAAAUGAACAGACUGAGGCCCAGAGAGGUUUGAAAUUGGCCAAAUUUAAGGAGAUAGGAACAGAGCCGAGAUGACAAAAUUGCUUGAAAGUCUGUGCUUUUUCUAGGUGAACUAUACAUAUAUAUUUGGGAAUCAUAAGAAUAUAAGCAGUGAUUGAAUCUGAGGAAAUAGAGUUACUCAGGAAGAACACAAGAAUUAGUACAGAAUGCUGAAAGAAGAAUGAAAAUAGAUUUGAAGUCAACUUGAUUCAAAUAUCCCAAUGUAAUGGUAUUAGGAAGUGGUGCCUUUUUGAGGUAAUUGGGUCAUGAGGGUGGAGUCCUCAUGAGUGGGAUUAGGGCCCUUAUAAGGGGCUGAAGAGACCAGAGUUUUCCCUUCCACCAACUGAAGACUCAUAUAGAAGGUACUAUUUAUGAACCAGAGGGUAGGUCCUCAGCAGACACCAAAUCUGCUGCAACCUUGAUCUUGGACUUCCCAGUCUCCAGAAAUGUGAGAAACAAAUUUCUAUUGUUUAAAAGCCACCCAGUUUAUAGUAUUUUGUUAUAGCAGCCUGAAUGGGCUAAGACACCAUUAAACUUUGAAACUUGGUUUUUCCACAUGUAAAAUCAGGAUACACGUAGAAAACCUGCUGAUGCCUUUAAAAAAUUUUAAACCCAUAUGUUCUAAAGUUGGUAACAGAGGAAGACUUUCCACAAGAUGGAGGAAAGUCUUUUACUCCAGAUCUUAAAAUUAACCUUACUCUUGGGGUAUAAGGUUACUCACACUAAUGUCUGCUGGAGCCACAAUCAGCAAACUGGCUUUAGGGGUACAAAGCAUGGAUUUUACAGUUUCUCUCAUUGCCAUAGUAUGGUUGAGACAGCUUAUAAUAUUUAUGCAAGAUACUACUAAAGAUGGACCCCUCAUGUUGGAGCUGGACAUAGGACUUUUUUCUUCUCUUUCUAGAUUUCUUCCAUAGAUACAUUCAUCUAAUCCCAUAGCUUUAAAAUACCACCUCAAAGCCAAAGACUCAAAUUUAUACCUCUAGCUCUGACCUACUCCUGAGCUCCAGACUUAUAUGUCCAAUUGCUUGCUCUAGAUUAUUACUUAGAUAUCUAAUGGUCAUUCAAAUAUAACAUUUCCAAAAUGGGAUGCUUGACUUCCUGCUCCCAAACCAGUUCUUCCUGCAAUAUUCUCAAUCUUGGUAAACUUAUAUCCAAUUGAUAUAGUUUGGAUAUCUGUACCCACCCAAAUCUCAGGUUGAAUUGUAAUCCCCAGUGCUGGAGGUGGGGGCCGGUGGGAGGUGAUUGGAUCACGGGAUGGAUCUCUCAUGGCUUGGUGCCGUCUUCAUGAUAGUGAGUAAGUUCUCGCGAGAUCUGGUCAUUUAAAGGUUGUGUGUACCCCCCUCACCCUCCCUCUCUCUUGCUCCUGCUUUUGCCACUUGAGGUGCCUGCUCCCCUUUAGCCUUCCACCAUGAUAGGAAGCUUCCUGGGGCCUCCCUAGAAGCCAAGCAGAUGCCAGCAUCAUGCUUCCUGUAAAGCCUACAGAACUGUGAGCCAAUUAAACUUCUUUUUCUUAUAAAUUAUCCAGUUUCAGGUAUUUCUUUAUAGCAAUGUAAGAACAGCCUAAGAAAUCAAUCCAUCAGCAAACUCUCUUAGUUCUACCUCUGGAACAUUUUGCGAAUCUCAAUCUUUCUCCACAUCUGAUGCCUUAAUAUUCCAAGCCACUGCCAUCUCUUACCUCCCCUUCUGUGGUAGUUUCUCAGCUGGAUUUUCUGUUCCUACUUUAAUAUCCCCUACAAUCUACUCUCCACACAGCAGCCAGAUGGUCUGUUUACUACAUAAAUUAUGUGUCACUCUCUUGGUUAUAAACUUCUAAUGGCUUCCCAUCACACUUAGAUUGAAACUCUAACCCCAUUAGGCCCUGCAAGACCCAGAUCCUGCUUACUGUCUGACCUCACCCCACACUUUCCUUGCUCAUCAUGCUCCAGAUUCGAGGCUGGAUUGCUUUCUGUUCCUCAAACACACCAAGCUCCUUUCUCUUUCUAUCUAUCUAUCUAUCUAUCUAUCUAUCUAUCUAUCUAUCUAUCUAUCUACCUAAUCUAUCUAUCUUUAUCACAAGAAUCAGAGGUGAAACCAUGCUCAUUUCUGAUGUAACCUCAGCAGUUCCCUCUGUCUGGAAGGCUCAUUCCAUCCUGUUCCCUCCUCCCCAUCUUCACUUGGCUGCAUUCUUCUCAUCGUUGUGGUCUCUGCUUAUUUUUAUGUUCUAACAAAGGCCUUCCCUGCCUGUCCUUGCUAGAAUAGCUCUCUAGUCAGCCUCUAUCAUAUCAGCUGGCUUUUGCAUCUGAGCAUUUAUUGCUACUGAUAUUUCCUUGUUUAUUUUCUGUCUAUUGUCUGUUUCUUUCUCACUAGAAUGUAAACUUUCUGAGAGCAGUGAUUCUAUCUGUUUGGUUUACCACUGUGUUCCCAGCCUCAGAAAAGUGCAUAUACCUGGUGGGCCCUCAAUUAAUAUUUGAUGAAUAAAUAAAUAAAGGUUCAAAUAAGAGAAGGGAAGUAAAUGCAGGAAGCACCAUAUCAUUAGAUUGUCUGGCACAUAAAUUAGAAUCCCCAACUUCAGCUUGUAGUUCAGCAUGAAAAUGCAUUUCCCUUGCUAUGUCAGAAUGUCUAGACUUGUGGAAAUCCAAACCUGAACAAAGGACAGUGAGGACAGAGGGUUGGCAAGCCCCCUGGUUUUCUCUCCUGCAUUUCUACAUUCUACCUUUGCUACGGUUUCACCUGGGUGUUAGUCCAUUUUGCAUUGUUAUAAAGGAAUACCUGAGACUGGGUAAUUUAUAAAGAAAAGAGGUUUAUUAGGCUCGUGGUUCUGCAGGCUGUACAAGACACAUGGUGCCAGCAUCUGCUCAGCUUCUGGUGAGGCCUCAGGAGCCUUUACUCAUGGCAGAAGGCAAAGGAAGCCAGUGUGUCACAUGGUGAGAAAGGAAGCAAGAGAGAGGGAAGGUGAUGCCAGGCUCUUUUUAACAGUCAGUUCUGGUGUGAACCCAUAGAGCAAGAACUUUCUCAUUACCAUGAGAAAGGCACCAAGCCAUUCAUUAGGAAUCUACCCCUAUGACACACACACCUCCCAGAGGCCCCACCUCCAACACUGGGGAUCGAAUUUCAACAUUAGACUUCGAGGGGACAAACAUCCAAACUAUAUCACCUGGGGAUCUACCCACUGACCUGGAUGAUUAACACUGGGCAGUUCCACCUUCCUGAGUGGUGAUAUCACUCCACAUCCACAGUAGAGGUUUGGAUGGAAGGCAAAGAAUAAGCUCAUCAGAACAUCCUACAAGAAAUACAGACUUAUUAAUAGCAAGGAGAGCUGCUUUCUGCAAGAUAAUUGAGUUAGUUUGUUCAGGCUGUUUUAACAUAAUACCAUAGACUUGGUGGCUUAAACAACAAACAUUUAUCCCUCAUAGUUCUGGAGGCUGAGAAGUACAAGAUCGAGAUGUUGGCAGAUUUGGUGUCUAGGGAAGGCCCACUUCUUGGCUCAUAGACAGCUGUCUUGUCACUGUGCCUUCACAUGGCAGAAAGGGGUGGGGGAACUCUGUGGGUUCUCUUUUAUAAGGGUACAAAGCCUAUUCAUAAGGGCUCCACCUUCAUAAGCUAAUUACUUCCCAAAGGCCCCAUCUCCUGAUACCAUCACAUUGGGGGUUAGGAUGUACAACAUGUGAAUUUAGAGGAUCACAAACAUUUCAUCCAUAACAGUAAUGAUCUCUGUUCUACACACUUCCCAUACUUGUUCUGAUGAUCUGAUAAAGAAGUGUGGUCUGGAACAUGACCCACAUGUGUAAAUCACUACAUUAUUACACUAUUUGCUCCUCAUCACUAUGUGUUGAUGAGGAGCAGAGCAAAUACUCCUGGCAGAAUGCCAUCAGUGUUCCUCAUACCACAGUACUAAGGACUUAGACAAUUUUUGUUGUCCUCUCCAUCCUAGAUAACUCUGUAUCCCUGUAUAAGACUCAUUCAACACCUGGUCUCACCAUUCUAUGGUAUCGUCAUCUUCAAUAUGCCUCUCCCCUCCACCAUGCUUCAUUCAUGUGGUCACACUCUGAACCUUGUCAUCACUCCCAAACUAUUCCACUUUGGAAACCUCAAGCCUCAAGACCUGGGAAUAACUGAUGUUCUGCUCACAAUGUCCUAACCCUCUAGCUCUCAUAUUCACUUACUCCCCUUGUGCCUGCUUUUCAACCCCACCAAGACUUCCUCAAACCUUUUCUCCCUAUCUCUUAGGCCCCUUCUGAGCUGACUUCCUUCACUAUUCAUCCAUACCACUUCCUUCUUCCAAAAUCUUAAUUUUCAUGCCCCCACCUGCCAACCCUCAACUCUGGAACAGUCUAGCGCCUGCCUUUCCUGUUUCUAAACACCCAGGGUACUGUGCCCUCAUGGAGAAAAUAACAGAGUGGUUUGAUCUGGUGACACCAUAAACUUUCAAAAUAAGUUGUUUCCUUUGGCCAAAUGGCAAUCCUAUAUGCUUCUCCCAAUUGCCCUAACUGAUGCAUGAACUUUAUUCAUGCUUCUUUCUCUCUCAUACAUAUUCAUACUCAGUGAAUGGCAUCCUUUUCUAUACCAUGAGGAAAAUGGAGGUCUUCACGCAUAAAACCUCUCAGCUUUCUGCUCUCCAUGUGCAAAUAAAGUGAAUGUAUAUCUACAGCUAUGGCCAAGAUGAACUGCUGUUAACCAGAAUCUAUUCCUCCCUUCCUCCUGGACAUGCAGCUCCGCUACAUUUCUCAACCUCCCUUGCAGUUAGGUGUAUCAUGUGAUGAAAUUUUUUGCCAUUGGAAUUUGAGCAUUAGUAUUGUCUACCACUUCCAUGCCUGGUCUAUAAAAAUGUUUCACGUGCACAUCACCGUGAUCUUUCCCCUUCUGGCAAGCUGUUUGAUGAUAUGAAAACCAUGUGUUAAAGAUGGCAGAGCUGCCAUCAGCUUUGUUCCUUAAAUAACUGCAUGGGAAGUAGCUGCCUGCCUGUCUUUAAAAACUGCCCUAAAAAUGAUGUAAGUGAGAAAUAAACUUUAUUUUUGAGUCAUUACGAGUUAAGGUUUAUUUUUAUAGCAGGUUAGCCUAUGCUAAUGAAUACAAUAGCUAUUUUUCCUCUCUCAGUUCUUAAUGGGAAAAAUGGCUCUCCUCUCUCCUGUCCCAGGGAAUCCCUCUACCUGAACUCUGGACUCCAACCCCACCCCAAGCCCUGUUUCAUCAAUUAUUUACUCUCUCCUCUAGGUCUCAACUUAUCCUCUCCUGGCUCUUUUCCCUCAGCACACAGACAUGCUCAUAUCUCUUCUAACAACUAUACAAAACAAAUCUUACAUUACAUGAUCUGAUAUUCUCCUUGUCUAGAAUUCUCUUUUCUCCUUCCUUUCAUGCUCAAGGCUUUUUUCAUCCCAUUCUCUACCCCACUUACUCUAUGACCUGGUCUCUGUCCCUACCACCGUUGUGAAACUGCUCCAGAUUGGGCCCCAGUGGCCUAACAGGCUAUGGUCAUAUUUCACGUCUUAUCUAACUUGGCAUCUUGGCAUAGAAAGCUGUUCUUCCUCCUUCCUUGGUGCUCCUCUUCCCCUCCAGCUGCUCCUUCUAAGUCUCCCUGACAGGUUUCUUUUCCUCUCUCUUUGGUAAAUGUGGAUUCACCCUCUACCCUCAUUUCUUCCCACUGCCUAUAUAUCUCUUUCUAAACAAUUUUGUUAUUGCCUGUGGUUUAAAUGACCAUUAUUUAUAGAUGCUAAUGCCACACAUCCUUGAGCCUUGAACCUAUAUUACCAACUGCCUCCUAGAUAUUUCUAUCUUUAUGGCCCAUAGGCACCUCAAACUUAAUAUGUCCAAACUGAAUUGAUCAUCUUUCCCAUUUCCAACAACGACUGCUUUUAUAUUUUCUACUGAGGCGGAUGGUAACAAUUGUCCAUGGGUAACAGUCAUCCACUAACCCUCUGAGCUGACUUCCUUCACUAUCCAUUCAUACCACUACACUCUUCCACAAGCUUAAUUUGUAUGCCCUAACCUGCCAACCCUCAACCUGGAACAGUUCAGUGCCUGCCUUCCCUGUUUCUAACCCCCCAGGGUAUACUGUUCCCUAAUGGAGAAAAACACACAGUGGUUGGUCGGGUGGCACUAUAUCCAGGCACUCAAGCUAGACACAUGGGAGUAAGCCAACCUGGUCUCUCAUCCUCAGACUACUCUGGCUCCAAAUCCUAUUACAUGUAUCUACUGAACACUUCUCCAAUACAUCUGUUCGUCUCCCUUUCUUGGCCACUGCUGAGCUCAGACCUUUUUCAUCACUUUCUUAGAUCAUCUCAGUAACUUCUGGACUAUUCUUCCUGUGGGCAGCCUCACCUUCCUCCUACAGCCUAAAGACUUGAUAUUGUCUCUUUCUUUGUUGAUAUUCAUUUAUGGGAUUCUUUUCGUUAGUGUCUUUUUCAAACUAAAAAGUAAUAUAUUCUCAUUGUAAAAUAGUUUAUAAGGCUAUUUAAAAAAAUUAAAGUCACCCCGUAUCCAGUCCUUAAAUUUUACCCCCAAAUACAUAUACACAUAGUUUUUUUCUAAAAAUAGGAUCUUAUUACACAUGCCAUAUUUCUCUAUGCCAUAUUCUAUUUUAGGAGGAACUUUUUUCCAUAUUUUAACAUCUCUAAAAUCACAAUGUGUCAUACAAUCAAUGGUUCUUAGGUUUGGUUACAUACAACAUUGUUCUACAAUGUACUCUUUUUACUUAUUAAUAUUGGUCAUGAUUCCAAACCAACACUUACUUCCAGGAGAUCUUUCUAAAGUACAAAUCUGGUCAGGUUGCUACCCUUGGGAAAAUUCUUCCAAGCCGCCCCUGCCCCCAAAGCCCUUCAUCUUCUGAUUCCCAUCUACUUUUUCCCUUUCCAGCACAUCCACACACAUCGUCUUCCUUAAAGCCAAACAGGCCAAGCAGAUCUAUUGGCAGUUCAUUCCCCAAAUAGCGAUGCUAAGCCAGCUCUUUGCCUUCGCACCAAUGUUUUUUCUGCCUUAAAGCCUAUUCUCACCUUUUUACUCAAAGUUAGCUCUUU